This 521-nucleotide ribosomal RNA is filed under the name uncultured bacterium. RNAcentral describes it as "bacterial SSU rRNA". It matches the Rfam family "Archaeal small subunit ribosomal RNA", at positions 345 to 866 of the family's 1478-position model. The record is from RNAcentral.
AACCUCCGCAAUGUGAGAAAUCGCGACGGGGGGAUCCCAAGUGCCAUUCUUAACGGGAUGGCUUUUCAUUAGUGUAAAGAGCUUUUGGAAUAAGAGCUGGGCAAGACCGGUGCCAGCCGCCGCGGUAACACCGGCAGCUCUAGUGGUAACAAUUUUUAUUGGGCCUAAAGCGUCCGUAGCCGGUUUAAUAAGUCUCUGGUGAAAUCCUGUAGCUUAACUGUGGGAAUUGCUGGAGAUACUAUUAGACUUGAGACCGGGAGAGGUUAGAGAUACUCCCAGGGUAGAGGUGAAAUUCUGUAAUCCUGGGAGGACCGCCUGUUGCGAAGGCGUCUAACUGGAACGGUUCUGACGGUGAGGGACGAAAGUUAGGGGCGCGAACCGGAUUAGGUACCCGGGUAGUCCUAACUGUAAACGAUGCGGACUUGGUGUUGGGGUGGCUUUGAGCUGCUCCAGUGCCGAAGGGAAGCUGUUAAGUCCGCCGCCUGGGAAGUACGGUCGCAAGACUGAAACUUAAAGGAAUU